UACGUAGGGGGCAAGCGUUGUCCGGAUUUAUUGGGCGUAAAGAGCGUGUAGGCGGCCAGGUAGGUCUGCUGUGAAAACUCGAGGCUUAACCUCGAGAUGUCAUCGGAAACCAUCUGGCUAGAGUCCGGAAGAGGAGAGUGGAAUUCCUGGUGUAGCGGUGAAAUGCGCAGAUAUCAGGAAGAACACCAAUGGCGAAAGCAGCUCUCUGGGACGGUACUGACGCUAAGACGCGAAAGCGUGGGGAGCGAACAGG
RNAcentral lists this ribosomal RNA (253 nucleotides) under uncultured bacterium. Its description in RNAcentral is "partial 16S ribosomal RNA". It matches the Rfam family "Bacterial small subunit ribosomal RNA", at positions 524 to 776 of the family's 1533-position model. The record is from RNAcentral.